RNAcentral lists this unclassified non-coding RNA (317 nucleotides) under uncultured Thelephorales. RNAcentral describes it as "sequence contains 5.8S rRNA gene". Lineage: Eukaryota; Fungi; Basidiomycota; Agaricomycetes; Thelephorales. The record is from RNAcentral.
GAACGCACAUUGCGCCCUUUGGCUAUUCCGAAGGGCAUGCCUGUUUGAGUAUCAUGAACACCUCAACUCUCAUGGUCCACCAUGAUGAGCUUGGACUUUGGGGGUCUUGCUGGCCUAUCACCGGCUCCUCUCAAACGAAUCAGCUUGCCAGUGUUUGGUGGCAUCACAGGUGUGAUAACUAUCUACGCUUGUGUUUUCCCACCAGGUAACCUCCAGCAAUGGGGGUUCACUGGGGCUCACAAAUGUCUCUCCUCAGUGGAGAUGGCUCUUUUGAAUGUUUGAUCUCAAAUCAGGUAGGACUACCCGCUGAACUUAAG